UUCCUCCUACGGGGGGCAGCAGUGGGGGAUAUUGCACAAUGGGGGAAACCCUGAUGCAGCGACGCCGCGUGAGUGAAGAAGUAUUUCGGUAUGUAAAGCUCUAUCAGCAGGGAAGAAAAAAGACGGUACCUGACUAAGAAGCCCCGGCUAACUACGUGCCAGCAGCCGCGGUAAUACGUAGGGGGCAAGCGUUAUCCGGAUUUACUGGGUGUAAAGGGAGCGCAGACGGCAGUGCAAGUCUGGAGUGAAAGCCCGGGGCUCAACCCCGGAACUGCUCUGGAAACUGUGCGGCUAGAGUACUGGAG
Molecule: ribosomal RNA, 305 nt
Filed under: uncultured bacterium
Lineage: Bacteria
Description: partial 16S ribosomal RNA
Rfam family: Bacterial small subunit ribosomal RNA
Source: RNAcentral